Schistosoma rodhaini is the source of this 45-nucleotide non-coding RNA. NCBI's taxonomy places the organism in Eukaryota, Metazoa, Platyhelminthes, Trematoda, Strigeidida, Schistosomatidae. The record is from Rfam.
AUCCAGCUGACGAGUCCCAAAUAGGACGAAACGUGCGUCCUGGAU